RNAcentral lists this ribosomal RNA (1293 nucleotides) under Triticum aestivum (bread wheat). Its description in RNAcentral is "partial small subunit ribosomal RNA". Lineage: Eukaryota; Viridiplantae; Streptophyta; Magnoliopsida; Poales; Poaceae. The record is from RNAcentral.
CUUUUUGUUUGUAAAACAUUUCACUUUUGCUAUCCCCGUUCUAGACGGUGCUGAGGUAAAAUUGACCAGCGGCGUCGGAGGCGGGCUGCGACGGCGAAGGGGCGCUAGAGAGAGGGCGAGAGAAGAGGGGUGGUGGUGGGCUCAGCAGCAGAGGCAGCGGCCGGCGGUACCGAGGCCCGGAGAUGUGGCUGUAGCCGUUCUUCUGGUCUCUAGACGAGAUGUCCCUGAUGACGUGCGUGGUCUUCAAGUGGGAGUGGUGUACGUGGGGGCUCCCGCAGCGUUAGUGUCGACGUCCUUGAUCCUUUUUGCUCAGUUAGAAACCGCUCGAAGUCUGGGUCGAAUUCUUGUUCUUGAACUGUCAACUAUAGUUUCGUUUGAGUCUCAGUCUAGAAGACUGUUGUAAGUGUCAACUACUCAAACGUUGAGGUCCCGACUUUAGUUAAGAGUCGAACCAACAAGGUCUGGUCUCCAGUCCCUUCGAACUUGAGGUCAUAGAGGUACUUAAGCGGCCACAGUUACGUUCGCAACCCGACUUGGGGUUGGGAUACCAAUUGGAAAGACCACAUAAGCCUUCGUUUCUUGACAGUCAACCACAACUGCAAAGUAAACUGUGCCGUUGAUCGUUAAAGUGGUUCAUGUUGCGACGAAAUUCGGAGUGCAUAGGCCUAGAAUAACGAAGUGAGGUGGACUUGUUAGUGCCACUGUGGAACUGACGCAGAAUGAUGGUGAAUCAUUUCAGUGUAAGUUCGUGACGACAACCUCGUCUCGACAGGGUGUUGAAGGGUUCCUUGCUCUCGUGUAACUAUAAACCUAGCGUCGUGAGUAACCUGGGCGUGUGGUCACACUUCCGUGCGAAGUUGUUGAUACCGUACCGGUCACGGGAACAGGUCGUACUUACCGCUGGGUUCAGUGAGCAGUGGUAGAGGCCGCUCCAACUGUGGUUCCGUUAACUCUUCUCGUGUUUUCAACCAGACAGUAACCACGAUUUCGGAACUCUACGUGUCGACCCUGGGAUACAAAACUUUCUUUUUUUCAAGUCAAGACGACCUAACCUUAUUGUACCGGGGUCCAGUAGAGAAGCGCGAAAGUAAAACUAGAACUUAAGGAGGAAACAGGUGUAUUAGACAAAGGAUCCGUUUACAAUCGGAACUGCUGGAGUAAUAAAACUAAACUAGUAGUCGCGGACAGUUAUUAAAGACCACUAAUUCUGGACAACACUUAGAACAGUUUACACUGUCUAACCGCCAAUGUCUGUCGCACAAGUUAAGUAAGGAACUACGGGAACAGGUCAAC